AACGAACGCUGGCGGCAUGCCUAACACAUGCAAGUCGAACGAGACCUUCGGGUCUAGUGGCGCACGGGUGCGUAACGCGUGGGAACCUGCCUUUAGGUUCGGAAUAACUCAGAGAAAUUUGAGUUAAUACCGGAUAAUGUCUUCGGACCAAAGAUUUAUCGCCUUUAGAUGGGCCCGCGUAAGAUUAGCUAGUUGGUGGGGUAAAGGCCUACCAAGGCGACGAUCUUUAGCUGGUCUGAGAGGAUGAUCAGCCACACUGGGACUGAGACACGGCCCAGACUCCUACGGGAGGCAGCAGUGGGGAAUAUUGGACAAUGGGCGAAAGCCUGAUCCAGCAAUGCCGCGUGAGUGAUGAAGGCCUUAGGGUUGUAAAGCUCUUUUACCCGAGAUGAUAAUGACAGUAUCGGGAGAAUAAGCUCCGGCUAACUCCGUGCCAGCAGCCGCGGUAAU
RNAcentral lists this ribosomal RNA (450 nucleotides) under uncultured bacterium. RNAcentral's name for it is "bacterial SSU rRNA". It matches the Rfam family "Bacterial small subunit ribosomal RNA", at positions 29 to 524 of the family's 1533-position model. The record is from RNAcentral.